UGCAUCGGCCGGGAAUCGAACCCAGGCCGCCCGCGUGGCAGGCGAGUAUUCUACCACUGGACCAUCGAUGC
Molecule: non-coding RNA, 71 nt
Organism: Cordylochernes scorpioides
Lineage: Eukaryota; Metazoa; Arthropoda; Arachnida; Pseudoscorpiones; Chernetidae
Source: the annotation of a GenBank genome assembly